GGCGUGGUAGUAUAGCGGUUCUCACACUCCCGAGUUAGAGCGAAGACCCAGGUUCGACUCCUGGCCCGCAA
RNAcentral lists this transfer RNA (71 nucleotides) under Podospora comata. Lineage: Eukaryota; Fungi; Ascomycota; Sordariomycetes; Sordariales; Podosporaceae. The record is from RNAcentral.